GCGUGUGUGAGAUCAUUUUUAAACACAUAAAUGUAGUAGUUUUUUCACAACUGGUAAAGCUUUCACUUGCUUUUUAGCAUAACAAUGUCGCCGUCUUUCCAUGACUCUGGGUGUAUCGGUUGGUUCUCGACAUGGCUAUCCUCCAGCAGUCCCUCGGUUGCCAUGUCCUCGUAUUCACUCUUCUUCCAUUCCUACCUAUAAAAAACAAAAAUAUUUAACCAUAAAUAGUUAUAAAACAUGUUGUAAUUUUUCAUCAAUUUGUUAUCAAAAUGGCCUUACCUCCACCGUCGAGUCUGCUUCCUCCAAAGCCAGCAACACAUUUUUUCGCACGCGAUCUUUUUUGUCUUUUACAACUGGCCGUGACUCCAUAAAGUCUUCUUCCUGUUUCUUCAGUUCAAUUUCAGGAUGAAAGGCAGGGUUCGGCAACAGGUCUGCCUCUUUCGCAAAAUAAGUGUAAAUGGGUCGUCUUUUCUGAACGUGAGCUGGUGCACCCACGGGCAAUUCCAGCUUCUUGGCAUCUGGAGGCGUCUUGUAGAAGGACAUGACCAUUGUCUCGGCUACCGGUUUUAAAACUGCCGUUCGUAAAAAUACCGGUUUUGUACACAUGGUCAAAUGCUCGUUGGCUAGAGGUUUUUUCAAAUAAUACACUUCACGAUCGUCCUUUUUUGAAAGGCUCUUCUUUUAGAAUCUUGGUAUGAAAGGAUUGGUUCAAAAAGUGCAUUCUGUGACAUAGCUGUAAAGCAGCUACGGAUGGGUCUACCGAAAGACAGGGCUAGCUCCCAAGGGUCACCUCCAAGAACAGCUAUCAUUUCACUACCGACAGUUGCUGGAGUAGGACGUUUCGCUCUGCAUGUGUUCAGUAACACAGCCUCUCUUAUUGCUUUAUUUUUUUUCUAAAACCUUUUUUCUUUGCCCUGUGCUUAUUUUUUCCUUUUUUUCCUCUAAACCUAACGAAAGCUUCCUUUUUUAAUCUUUACGCUUUCUCACUCUCUUCUUUCAACCUUUUUUUCCUCUAAACAAUCCACCAAAUGUAUCCAAGCACAAGCAUGCAACAUUCCUCCUAUUCAAAUGUAAAAAAUAAAAAUUCAAAAUGGCUGACGGUGCCAAACCGUGACACCAAUGGGACUGGAGGGCAGGACAUAGGUUUCCACACCCCAUUUAGGACUUAUCAAGCUGUAUGCUAUGGUUAUAGAACACCGAUGGGACUUCCUUGCAUAGUCUUUGACACUCAUAUUCUGGCCUUCAUGGGACAUAAGCAUGUGACUAAUUGCAAGAAGUCGUAGGGCCAUUAGCAUGUGCAGUAGUGUUCUGCAGAGUCAGCUGCUUCAUAAACAGAAGGCAAUUUUUGUGCCUUCCCUGAAUCAAGAGAGAAGUUCUUUCAGUUAGUCAUGAUAACAAGUUCUAACUUCGCAUGGAUACGGUUGUUCUGUUUUGAACUCCAUGAAGCAAUGUUGAAUUUCUGAUACUGUUCAUCCUUUUGUAGAAAUAAGCUUCCAUUAGUGGAUAAAGCAUCAUAAAUAAUUUUCUGGAUAUUCUGGUCCUGGGGGGCGAGGAGAAUCUCUGUCAUCGAGUUUAAAUGAGGAAAAGAAUUUUUAUUUGCCUAAAAUCAGGAUUCCCGUGGGACAGAUAACAGGAAAUUGCUUGACAAAAUGCAUAAUUAAUCCAUGGAACUCGGUGCCAUGAGACUCUGAAGUAAAGAGUUUGGUAGAAUUCAAAGAAGGAUGAGACACUCAAACUCUUGUCCUGCAAACACUUAAAACGGUUUUUAACAUCACUCGUGAACUAUCCCCUACAAAUCAAUGGGUCUACCCAGGUAAAUAUAGUUAUGCAUGUGAGUGUUUCAGGGUCUGGGCCUUAAUUUGGCAAUAUAAAUAUAUGCACUUUGGAUAAUUUAGUUGGCUUACUCCUCUUUGGGACAUGAGGGGAGCCAUUAACUGUGGGGUUAGGAGGAAUCUUUCCCUGUCCAGCUGGCCUCCUGUGGGCAUAAUUAUCCAUAAUGGAGGUUUUACAGGUUUCUCUGUAGCUUCUGUGACUGGCCGUGGUCAGAAAGGAGAUAAGACUAGACCAGGGUUUCUCAACCUGUGGGUUGGGACAUAAAAUAGGGUUGCCAGAAGACUUGUUUCAAAGGGUCACAUGGCAGCUCCUGUGGCUCACCUCCCUGCUCUGCGUGCUACAAUCUCUGGGAUUCCAGCACCACUCAGGUUUGGAGCAGCCGUCAUGACGACAGCAGCCUGGGUAGGCAGAGGUGGAUUAGAGGUUUGUGGGGCCAUGGGCCAGAGCAAGUUGGGGGGGCCCUUCCCACCCCUUCUACCUGCAGUCUCCCUGUUUUCCUCCCCAGGCACUUCAGCUGGGGAGCGGGGUGGGGGCAUGGAGACUUGCCCUGCCCCACCCACCCGGCACGCCUGCAAGACCCUGCGUCCGCUCCCCAGCAGGAGCGCUGGGCAGGUGCAUGGAGCAGGUCAGGGCGCUGGGGCACGCCUUUUUCUGGGGGGGCCCCAAUUGUCCGGGGCCCCUUGGGCAAGGGCCCCAUUGGGUCAGUGGUUAAUCUGCCACUGUGAGUAGGCCAAAUCUGAGCAGCGCUGCAACCCCAUGAGCCAGGUCGCAACUCCACUCUCUCAAAUUUGGUCCAGUCGAGGGGCGGGGGCCAAACUGUAGUGACGUUUCAAACCUGAAGGUUGCAAUGACUGAAGCAGAGAGACCAGCUUAGCUAGCCCCUUGGCACAGGAACCACCACUGUGGGUGAAUGCCAGGCAGGGACCAACCCUCCUGGGAUGCAGGACCUGACUGAAACCACCCCAGGGCCUCCAUGCCCAGACUGUUUACUGGGUCACGACAGGCCAUAAACAUUUACAAAUGGGUCCUCAGCCCAAAAAAGGUUAACCACUGGAUUGGAUGAUUGGCUUGAUCUGCCAUAGUAUUUGCUAUGUUAGGGGGAGCAAGUUAGCAUAUCCCUUUUUCUUUUUCCCAUUAAGGUAAUCUGAGGUAACACUAAUAUUCGUCUUGUUUUCUUCUAGGAAGACCAUGUAAAUCACUAGAACUACAAAAUGGCAGGGUUGAUUUAACCGAUUUCCGGUUUGGUGCAACAGCCAACUUCUCCUGUAGUGAAGGUUGCAGAUUAAUUGGACCGACUUGUGCCCCAUGUGCGCUUGUGGGAGAUUGCACAAUUCAAUGGUUUUAAGAACAGUUCACGUCUGGAGAUGAUGCAGCAUAGCUGGUGCUACAGAGGAGUCUGUUCUUACAUCUUUUAAUCCAAAUAAGAGUAAAACUUGAGGAUGUAUGUUUGGUUGGGGAGAAAAUGAAAUCCUACUGUGGUUCACCAUGGUGUUUGGAUGACUCCUAUAGAAUCAAAGCUUAAAAACAAAGUCCCUUCUAGAUUGUUCACCUGGCGCUGUUUAAUAUUCAUAAUCCAACAGGCCUUAUGGCACCUCUUCGCUGGUGUAUCUGUGUAAUCCCUGCUGUUUGCGAAGUAAAAGGCAUGAUGAUGACUUCAAGAAGUCUUGACCCUUCCCAAACCUGACUACCCACUUAAAAUCUGAGGCUCUUUGGGAAUGAAUCACAAUUAAUUUGCUUGUACCUUA
Long non-coding RNA from Caretta caretta (loggerhead turtle), 3578 nucleotides. RefSeq lists it as uncharacterized. Lineage: Eukaryota; Metazoa; Chordata; Testudines; Cheloniidae. The record is from RefSeq and is a predicted model, not a curated record.